GUUCCUUGGAAAAGGACAGCUGAGAGGGUGACACUCCCGUCCGCCUGGUAGAGUGAGUCUUUGUCAACGAGUCGAGUUGUUUGGGAUUGCAGCUCUAAUUUGGUGGUAAAUUCCAUCUAAAGCUAAAUAUUGGUGGGAGACCGAUAGCGUACAAGUACCGUGAGGGAAAGAUGCAAAGAACUUUGAAAAGAGAGUUAAAGAGUACCUGAAAUUGCUGAAACGGAAGCGAAGGAAACCAGUGUUUGUUGGUUCAUACUUCCCUUGUCACUUGUGAUGUGGGCGCUGUGAGCUUGCGUGGGUUUGCUUUGGUUGAUUCCUUUGGAAGAGCGCAGUCAGAGUUGAUGUCU
Molecule: ribosomal RNA, 347 nt
Filed under: Pseudo-nitzschia galaxiae
Lineage: Eukaryota; Bacillariophyta; Bacillariophyceae; Bacillariales; Bacillariaceae
Description: LSU rRNA
Rfam family: Eukaryotic large subunit ribosomal RNA
Source: RNAcentral